UUGACGGGGGCCCGCACAAGCGGUGGAGCAUGUGGUUUAAUUCGAUGCAACGCGAAGAACCUUACCUGGUCUUGACAUCCACGGAAGUUUUCAGAGAUGAGAAUGUGCCUUCGGGAACCGUGAGACAGGUGCUGCAUGGCUGUCGUCAGCUCGUGUUGUGAAAUGUUGGGUUAAGUCCCGCAACGAGCGCAACCCUUAUCCUUUGUUGCCAGCGGUCCGGCCGGGAACUCAAAGGAGACUGCCAGUGAUAAACUGGAGGAAGGUGGGGAUGACGUCAAGUCAUCAUGGCCCUUACGACCAGGGCUACACACGUGCUACAAUGGCGCAUACAAAGAGAAGCGACCUCGCGAGAGCAAGCGGACCUCAUAAAGUGCGUCGUAGUCCGGAUUGGAGUCUGCAACUCGACUCCAUGAAGUCGGAAUCGCUAGUAAUCGUGGAUCAGAAUGCCACGGUGAAUACGUUCCCGGGCCUUGUACACACCGCCCGUCACACCAUGGGAGUGGGUUGCAAAAGAAGUAGGUAGCUUAACCUUCGGGAGGGCGCUUACCACUUUGUGAUUCAUGACUGGGGUGAAGUCGUAACAAGGUAACCGUAGGGGAACCUGCGGUUGGA
Molecule: ribosomal RNA, 612 nt
Filed under: Escherichia coli
Lineage: Bacteria; Pseudomonadati; Pseudomonadota; Gammaproteobacteria; Enterobacterales; Enterobacteriaceae
Description: bacterial SSU rRNA
Rfam family: Bacterial small subunit ribosomal RNA
Source: RNAcentral